Molecule: ribosomal RNA, 301 nt
Filed under: uncultured bacterium
Lineage: Bacteria
Description: partial 16S ribosomal RNA
Rfam family: Bacterial small subunit ribosomal RNA
Source: RNAcentral
CAGUCGCCACGGUAAUACGAAGGGUGCAAGCGUUACUCGGAAUUACUGGGCGUAAAGCGUGCGUAGGUGGUGGUUAAGUCCGUUGUGAAAGCCCUGGGCUCAACCUGGGAAUUGCAGUGGAUACUGGGUCACUAGAGUGUGGUAGAGGAUAGUGGAAUUUCCGGUGUAGCAGUGAAAUGCGUAGAGAUCGGGAGGAACAUCAGUGGCGAAGGCGGCCAUCUGGGACAACACUGACGCUGAGGCACGAAAGCGUGGGGAGCAAACAGGAUUAGAUACCCCAGUAGUCCCUGUCUCUUAUACA